GCCGCCAAGCAGAAGGUGUUUCCCCUCUCAUCAUGCCCAUCGUCGACCGCUGGCCUCCACCACUGCUCCUUUCCCUCUCCCCUUCGUGACACCGACGACGACCACUACUCCUUUCCCUCACCUUCCUCUCGACGACAUGGCCACAGUUGUUUCCCUAUCCACGCCGACGACGACACUCUUUUUCCUCCUCCUCGCAGUGUUGGCCGCACCUCCUCCUUCAUCUCCUGUGUCACCGUCGCCGCCGACAGGAACACAGCGUCACGGCUGCUUCCUUCCCUCACCAGCGACGGGUCGUCUCCUCCUUCGAGUUCCCUCGACCGUAGCCCAUGAGCCAGCACAACCGCCUGUCCCUCGUUCUCCUCGCGACGCUGCCGUCGGACAGACUGGCCCCUAUUCUCCGCCUUCUCUUCCUCGCAACGCCCCCCCUCGGACAGAUCGGCCGCCACUCAUUUUCCUCCUCGCCACGCUUCUGUCGUUGCCAGCCUCAUCAAAGCCAGCACUAGAAGAGGAGGGCUGCGCUUUUACUUCUAGGGGUGUUUCUUCCGCCGCCAACACAGCCGCCACACUGCUCCCCCUCUCGCCGGAGACCUUGUACGUCCGUGGAGACCCUAAUCUCCGGCUGUGCCCUAACACGAAGCCAAUUGUUACGACCGUUGUCGCCGAUCGGACCGUACCUCGUUUUCGUCGUGUUCGGGCGUUUAGGUCGCUGUGUUCUGGCCUUCGAGCAGAGUUUACGUUUCGACCUCCGCCUUGCUCUGAUUUGUCGUGUCUAGACUUGGUACUGUUACUACUAUUCGACUUGUGUGAUAUUAUCCCGGCCUAUGUGCCGAUAUAUUAUCUCGGUCUACGUACCGUUAGUACCUCUCGGCCUACGUGUCGUUGACAUAUCCCUAUGUGCUUUGUAUCCCGGCCUGCGUGCCGGUGUCGUAUCCUGGUCUGCGUGCCAGUGACUCAUCCUGGUCUGCGUGUCACUAUUAUUUCCCGACCUGCAGUUUGUCUUCUGGAUACAGACCGCAUUCGGCUCCGUGCCUCCAGACCCGACUUCACAUUCGACUCCCGUUCGGCUACUCUUCCAGGUCCGAACCACUCAAGCAGCGUCCCAUCCGAGGGCGCCCCCUGGGCCAGGGUAUGUUCCUCGUUCAUAUUUUAUAUGCAUUUUCAUUAUUUCAUGACUUAGUCUUGUACUCAUAUAUUCGUUGGAUCUGCCUCGAGCAUCGGGGUACCGGGAGCCGGGUCAACCCGGUCGCUGGCUACUGGUAGCGUUGACCAGAGGACUUUUGAAGACUUGGUCAACACGGAAAUCAUCUCAGUACACCCCCCUCCGAGACGUCGUGACUUCGUCAAUAUUCUCACCACCUCAUCCGACGGUCCAUCCGACUCAACUUUCGGACGGGAUCAAUAUCCAUUUGAACUGAUGUCUUUAAAUCUAAUAACGAAGGCAUAACAAGAAAGCAUUUAAACAAAGAGGUCAUGGGCUGCAGGAGUGAAAAAUAAAAGGAACGGACAAACGACAACGAAUCAGCAACGCUUCCUCCAGCUCCAUAGACACCGUUACAAAGGAAACAGGGGAGGUUGACAACGGUUUGUCUUGAAAAGUCAGCAUUGAACACCCUUCCGACAGCGCAGGGCGCCUGCAUCAACAGUGACGGAGCCAACCAUGGAGGAAGACUUUGCUCCAAGGCUUGACGCCUUCGCAUAGCUCGCAGAGGCUCCAGCCCCGGAGGGGGUGAAGUAGGCUCCAUUCAGCAGCAUGUCGCCCUCUGAUCUCCAGUUCCAACUCUUCCACACACUUGAAUCUGUAUCAACUCUCUUGGUUACCUGUUUGACGCGAAUCCGUGGACAAUUAGUUAGAGUCAAAAUCAAAUUGAAUCAAAUGUUGCAGUGUCAUUCGAUA
This is a long non-coding RNA of Zingiber officinale, 1894 nucleotides long. RefSeq lists it as uncharacterized. NCBI's taxonomy places the organism in Eukaryota, Viridiplantae, Streptophyta, Magnoliopsida, Zingiberales, Zingiberaceae. The record is from RefSeq and is a predicted model, not a curated record. The transcript is spliced from 3 exons.